GACGAACGCUGGCGGCGUGCUUAACACAUGCAAGUCGAACGGAAAGGCCCUGCUUUUGUGGGGUGCUCGAGUGGCGAACGGGUGAGUAACACGUGAGUAACCUGCCCUUGACUUUGGGAUAACUUCAGGAAACUGGGGCUAAUACCGGAUAGGAGCUCCUGCUGCAGGGUGGGGGUUGGAAAGUUUCGGCGGUUGGGGAUGGACGCGCGGCUUCUCAGCUUGUUGGUGGGGGAGUGGCUUACCAAGGGUUUGGCGGGUAGCCGGCCUGAGAGGGUGCCCGGCCACAUUGGGACUGAGAUACGGCCCAGACUCCCACGGGACGCCGCUGUGGGGAAUUUUGCACAAUGGGCGGAACCCUUAUGCAGCAACGCCGCGUGCGGUAUGACCCCCUUCGGGUUGUACACCGCUUUCGCCUGUGACGGAGCGUGAGUGACGGUAAUUGGUAAAGAAGCACCGGCUAACUACGUG
RNAcentral lists this ribosomal RNA (468 nucleotides) under uncultured bacterium. RNAcentral describes it as "partial 16S ribosomal RNA". It matches the Rfam family "Bacterial small subunit ribosomal RNA", at positions 28 to 507 of the family's 1533-position model. The record is from RNAcentral.